Molecule: long non-coding RNA, 1529 nt
Organism: Cryptotermes secundus
Lineage: Eukaryota; Metazoa; Arthropoda; Insecta; Blattodea; Kalotermitidae
Exons: 3
Source: RefSeq, a predicted model, not a curated record
ACCAAGACUGACUGACCCUGACUGAUUGUCAGUUGCAACAUGACUUUGACUUUGGCAGCACUGAGGAGUGCUUCGGGUCAUAAUUGUCAUGAUCAUAAUCGAUCAUAAUCCGUUGUGGGAAGUUGUGGAAGAUUUUGGAAGUUCAGCAGUAGUAAGAAGAAAAAGCGUAAGGCGCACCUAUAACUGUCAUGUGGGGGCUGGUUCAUGCAGAAGCAGUGGAGGUGUUACUGAAGCUGAGUGAAGGAUCCACAUCAGCACCAAUGUGACAGGCUGAAGGGUGCCAGUAGGGAGCAAUGCUGGCAGCAGACAUAACAAGACUGAGGCUGGUUCACCUAGAAGCAGUGGAGAUCAUGUUGAAACUGCGUGAAGUCAAGUGGAGGAUCUCCAUCACUGUCUGUGAGAACACUUCGGGCUAGCAACACAGGGAGUAUUGCUACUGAGAGCUGUAAUGAGGUAACCAGCUGACUUUGAUGUCUUUUUGUCAGUUGGGGGGGGGUGGAGUUGCGAACAUUUUUAUCAAGACCAAACUCAUUGACUGGGGAAGGAUUGAACACAGGACAGUCUAGUUUCCAUUGGUGUAGGAAGUCUAAUGGUAGAAUAUCCCUUUGACAUUUCAGCCCAGCUGAACACUGUGUUGAAAACAGAAACAUUGGCUGGAUUUGUCAGUAGUCUCGAAGAAAUGAACUUUGUGGGUUGGAAGAGAGGAAUAUGCAUUUAGGGAAGGGGGGGGGAGGGGACAGUUUGGGGCCACAUAUAUAUUGGAAAUAGAUGUUACAGAAUCUUUGGGGUCCCCCUACAUGUCAGAUUUUUAUCUUUGUAGCUCUUCAGGAAGUUAUAAAAAGUAUGUAUGUGGCACAAUAUUGGGUGAAAAUGAUGAAUCUUAAAUCUUGUUUUGUUUUGGGUUCCCCCCCCCCUCCAAAAUUACACUUCUUGACAUAAAGGUACACUUCUCUGAGCAAUUAUUCUUGGUAGGAGUUUUCAGAUCGUUCAGUGAUGACAGUUAUAGGAACUUUUACAAGCUGUGUCUUGCCAAAAAACGUUUCUUUCAAAAUGUGAGUUCCGGCUAUGAAGCAAUUCAAAGGCAUAGGGGGCUAAAAUUUGACAGUUUCAUUCAUUCCAACAGGGUGCACAAGCUUAUCAAAUUUUGCUGUAACAUGAAAGUUGCACUUUAGUAUGCCCAGUUAUCAUGGAAUGAAGAACUUAUAAGGUAGACAUUUGAGACGACAAUGGUUGCAGUGUUUAUAGUGGAUGAGUCCUCCAUUGUAAUUUGUGGCCAGAUAAUAACAGUCACAUCUGAUGGGGAUGCAGUUUGCAUAAUGACAAAAUGUUGAACACCCACUGAAUUGCUGUACGAGUGCUUGCUGUUUCCUGUCUUGUAGCUUCCUUCACUCCCACCGGUUGCAAGAGGCAGUGAUGCAGAAAUAAUAUGUGCACAGACUGGUGAGGAAAACGUAAAACACUUGGGAUCUGUUGUUCCCAUAUGCAGACUGCUACAGUAUAUGUCAAAGAAUGUAAUAAGUAAAGAUAUA